Molecule: ribosomal RNA, 440 nt
Filed under: uncultured bacterium
Lineage: Bacteria
Description: partial 16S ribosomal RNA
Rfam family: Bacterial small subunit ribosomal RNA
Source: RNAcentral
CCUACGGGAGGCUGCAGUGGGGAAUAUUGCACAAUGGGGGAAACCCUGAUGCAGCGACGCCGCGUGAGUGAAGAAGUAAUUCGUUAUGUAAAGCUCUAUCAGCAGGGAAGAAAAUGACGGUACCUGAGUAAGAAGCCCCGGCUAACUACGUGCCAGCAGCCGCGGUAAUACGUAGGGGGCAAGCGUUAUCCGGAUUUACUGGGUGGAAAGGGAGCGUAGACGGCAGGGCAAGUCUGGAGUGAAAGGCGGGGGCUCAACCCCCGGACUGCUCUGGAAACUGUACGGCUGGAGUGCAGGAGAGGUAAGUGGAAUGCCUAGGGGAGCGGUGAAAUGCGUAGAUAUUAGGAGGAACACCAGUGGCGAAGGCGGCUUACUGGACUGUAACUGACGUUGAGGCUCGAAAGCGUGGGGAGCAAACAGGAUUAGAUACCCCAGUAGUC